GGUUUCCGUAGGUGAACCUGCGGAAGGAUCAUUGUCGAAAACUGCACAGUUAAGCCACACGUUAACUUGUUUUUUAACCAUCCCAUGUUGCUGGUAGGAAGGUUGCCUUGGCUUCCUCCUUCCAUCGCAUGAACAACAAUUUUCGGCGCGGAAUGCGUCAAGGAGUACAGACAUUAAUGUAAGGCUAGCCCCCUCUUGCUGCCGUUUGGUUUUGAUGAGGGUGUAGCAUAGAUAGUUGAAAUAUUUGGCUUAAUGACUCUUGGCAACGGAUAUCUCGGCUCUUGCAUCGAUGAAGAACGUAGCGAAAUGCGAUACUUGGUGUGAAUUGCAGAAUCCCGUGAACCAUCGAGUCUUUGAACGCAAGUUGCGCUUGAAGCUAUUUGGCUGAGGGCACGUCUUCCUGGGUGUCAUACUUUGCGCUGCCCCCCUCUCCCCCCUUAUUGUGUGGAUGAGAGGGGCGGAGAUUGGUCUCCUAUGUGUCUUGCGCACAUGGGUGUCUGAAACAUGGAGCUUGACGUAGUGAGCGCCGUGAUGAUCGGUGGUUGGAUGGGCCUUUCGCCCUAGAAGCAUCUUGUCAGGAAGUGCCGUGCUGAGUUCGGUAGGAGUUUGAAUUGGUUUGAAUUCUAUGUGAAUAAAUUGCUAUGACUUGUCAACAUUCGCGACCCCAGGUU
This 671-nucleotide ribosomal RNA is filed under the name Limonium iranicum. RNAcentral describes it as "eukaryotic LSU rRNA". The stretch from base 255 to 410 matches the Rfam family "5.8S ribosomal RNA". Lineage: Eukaryota; Viridiplantae; Streptophyta; Magnoliopsida; Caryophyllales; Plumbaginaceae. The record is from RNAcentral.